Long non-coding RNA from Cervus elaphus (red deer), 383 nucleotides. RefSeq lists it as uncharacterized. The record is from RefSeq and is a predicted model, not a curated record. NCBI's taxonomy places the organism in Eukaryota, Metazoa, Chordata, Mammalia, Artiodactyla, Cervidae. The transcript is spliced from 3 exons.
AGGAUUCUUCACCACUAGUGCCACCCAGGAAGCCCUGGUAGCUAGUAUGCAGCACUUACUAGAGCCUAAGGCCUGAUCUGACUACUUUACUUGCAUGGAUUAGCUCAUUUAAGCCUUAUAACACCCUUAUGCAGUAGCUACUGUUGUUAUUAGUAUUUUACUAGCAUGGCAGUUGAAGUACAAAGAAGUUAUGGCGACCACAAAGGGACCCAGAGUGGACUUCCUUCCUUCAAUUGGACUCCAUGAGGAGCCAGAGCUUUGGUACCAGCAGUGGCCCCUUGAGCCCAUCCACCUCCUUGGGGAGUGCAGAUGAAUUUAGGUAAGGAUUCUAAUGGGAAACCUGAUGACUUCACAAAGGUUAACAGAAGGCCUGAAUGAACUGG